RNAcentral lists this ribosomal RNA (469 nucleotides) under uncultured bacterium. Its description in RNAcentral is "bacterial SSU rRNA". It matches the Rfam family "Bacterial small subunit ribosomal RNA", at positions 227 to 708 of the family's 1533-position model. The record is from RNAcentral.
UGGCUCGCGGCCUAUCAGUUUGUUGGUGGGGUAAUGGCCUACCAAGACGACGACGGGUAGCCGGCCUGAGAGGGCGACCGGCCACACUGGGAUUGAGACACGGCCCAGACUCCUACGGGAGGCAGCAGUGGGGAAUAUUGCACAAUGGGCGAAAGCCUGACGCAGCGACGCCGCGUGAGGGAUGACGGCCUUCGGGUUGUAAACCUCUUUCAGCAGGGAAGAAGCGAAAGUGACGGUACCUGCAGAAGAAGCACCGGCUAACUACGUGCCAGCAGCCGCGGUAAUACGUAGGGUGCGAGCGUUGUCCGGAAUUAUUGGGCGUAAAGAGCUUGUAGGCGGUUUGUCGCGUCUGCUGUGAAAAUCCGGGACUCAAUUCCGGACUUGCAGUGGGUACGGGCAGACUAGAGUACGGUAGGGGAGACUGGAAUUCCUGGUGUAGCGGUGAAUUGCGCAGAUAUCAGGAGGAACA